Molecule: non-coding RNA, 446 nt
Filed under: Phoenicopterus ruber ruber
Lineage: Eukaryota; Metazoa; Chordata; Aves; Phoenicopteriformes; Phoenicopteridae
Description: Eukaryotic small subunit ribosomal RNA
Rfam family: Eukaryotic small subunit ribosomal RNA
Source: Rfam by way of RNAcentral
AAAAUAGUAGUAGUAGUAGUAGUAGUAGUAGUAGUACUACUACUACUACUACUACUACUACUUAAAAACCCAAACCAACAAAAACUAAUGCUUUGGAGUGCACUCACUGAGAAGUUUGAUACAUUUUUCUGAAGAAAUCAAAGUGUUCAAAGCUGGCUGGCCAACAGCGCACUCCAGCCAGGAAUAACAGAAUAGGACUCCGGCUCUUUUUUUGUUGUUUUUUGGAAGCAAGGCCAUAAUUAAGAGCAAUGGCUGGGGGCAUUCAUAUUGUGCCACUUGAACUGGAAUUCUUGGGCCAGUGCAAGAUGAACUAAAGCAAAAGCAUUUGCCAAGAACGUUUCCAUUAAUCAAGAACAAAAGCUGGAAGCUUGUGGCCAGCUCACUGUCCGGUGGUGUUACUCCCAUCACCCGCCAGGCAGCUCUCAGGACACUCAAGUCUUUGGGUU